CGGAGGGUGGAAAAGAUCAAACCUCUGAGCUUGGAUAAAAGGAAAUGAUGUUGUGCUGAACCUAGGUCCUUUGUCAUUAAAUCAGAACAAGGGAGAUUUUUAGUGAGUUUAGACACUAAUAGUAGGUUGCACUUAAACCUAGCAUAUACAACAUAAUCUUCACUGUCUUAUUUUCAAAUAUAGUUGUAUUUUCUGUGUGAGUGCUUUUUGACUUGUGUCCUGUAGGCACCUUCACUCCUUAUAUUCCUUGGUUAUCAAUACUUUUAAUAUUCUUUAGAAUAUCCUUACAGUAGGUGACAUGAUGAGUUGCCCCUGAAUCUAUCACCUAAUCACACAUAUUUGCACCAGACAUUAGAGAAAUUAUAUAUAUCAUAUUUGCAGAACAUUCCCAUGCAUUAGUCUUAGACAACAGAUUAACCAAUUGCUUGUAUAACUCUUAUGUAAAGAAUCGACCUAGUGCUUGAAUUUUUGGCAUUGUUCUUUCUUUCUUUGUAGUAGUUGUAUUUGCAUUUACAUUGUUGGCAUAUACCUUUCCUUCGAUUGUCUGAUUUUUCUUUUUGCUUUUGAAAUCAGAUGAAUAUCAAAUUAUCUUAAAAUAAUUCUCUUUCAGAUGUCCUUUAUACCUGCAAUACUCACAUAUUAAGUCAUGCUUUCUAUGUCUAAAGUUUUGAUCUCUUUCUGCUAGCAUUGUGAGUGGAUCUCUAUAUGUAUCUACGACACAUAAGGUCCUCUGAAUUUCUUCUUGGCUAACUAUAGCAUAAGCCUUAUUAACAUUCACAACUGGCCCUUUCGCUAACACAUUACUACGAAUAUUGCCAUAACAUUUGUUUAAUCCCAUAAGAAAUUGCAACAACCUUAUGUCUUUAAAAUGAUCUAUGAAAGGUCCAGCUUCCUCACAAUUACAAGAGGGCAAAGGGGCUAAUGCAUCAAGUUCAUCCCAUAAAUUCUUCAUUUUCAAAUAGUAGCAUGACAGAAUCUAUACCUUGCGUUAGAGUCACAAUUACAGUUCACAUAUGAUAAAUAUGGUGAGAUUAGAUCUGUCAAUCUUUUCUGAGAAUUAUUCCAAACUUUCUUAGCAUUUGACAGGUAGACAAUACUCAGAAUCAAUUCACUUGACAAGGUGCUUCCAUACCUUACCUUAGAGUUGCAAUUGCAGUCUACAGAUGAUAAAUAUGGUGAGAUUAGAUCUGUCAAAUCUCUCCUGAAAAUCAUUUUAAACUUUCUUCGCAUUUGAUGGUUACACAAUACUCGAAAUCAAUUCACUUGAUACGGUGCAUCUUAUCCAUGAUAAUACAAUAGCAUUGCACUUUUUCUAUUGCUCUUCCAAUUCUCCUUUGUAAUUGUAUUUCACACAAAUACUGUCUACAAAACCAAACUUACUCUUUCCUCGUAUUGCUAACUUCAUCGCUCUACUCCAAAGGACAUAAUUUUCUGGCCCUGUGAGUUUGAGCGGCAUCAAUAUGAGUCCUGGAGCAUCUCCGGCUUGUAAAAAUAGCGGAUGAUUGUGUUCAAGGAAAGCAACAUCAUUUUCGCCAUGGCUGUUCAAAAUUGAGCUUCAUUAGUGCUUUGUUUCCUGAUUUCCGGUGGAGCUUAAAUCGGAGUUAUAAACUUAAGACUGUUGCUCUGAUAACAUGAUAGAAUUUAUCAAAUCUUCUAUUGUAAAUCACAUGCAAGUAGAGAAGAUGGAAAUUGAGAGUGAGGAAAAAGAAGGCAUUUUAUUGUUCGAUUGAUUAUAACAAUGGGGAGGGGUUGUUUUAUAUUGGUGGGCAGUGAUUGACAAUUAUACCUAACUAACCACUUAACUAUCUAACCUCUUCUAAUUACAUAAUAACCCCAUUUUCUUAUACACACAUGCGUUGUUG
This 1862-nucleotide long non-coding RNA is filed under the name Nicotiana benthamiana. Its description in RNAcentral is "long non-coding RNA (NBEN_LNC004704)". Lineage: Eukaryota; Viridiplantae; Streptophyta; Magnoliopsida; Solanales; Solanaceae. The record is from RNAcentral.